This is a long non-coding RNA of Panicum virgatum (switchgrass), 2404 nucleotides long. RefSeq lists it as uncharacterized. The transcript has 4 exons. The record is from RefSeq and is a predicted model, not a curated record. Lineage: Eukaryota; Viridiplantae; Streptophyta; Magnoliopsida; Poales; Poaceae.
AGAGGGCACGGCAACGGCGCCCUCCAUGGCGGCCAUGGCUGGUGCCCGCGCGGCGCCACGGCGGCGGCGGCGGUGGCCGGCUCGGCGCCAUGCCUGCGCGGCCAAAGCUGGCCCGGCCGGCCUCCUCCCCUGCCCCCUCACCUGUCGCACGCCAUUGCGGGCCUCCUCGAGCUCCACCGCGCGAGCUUGGCCGGGGCGGACCUCCUCGAGCUCAGCCACGCGAGUCUUCUCGGCGCACCCCCUCAUCACUCCCCCUCCUCCAGAUCCCGGCGUUAGCGGCAGAGGUGGGCCGCGUCGACCUCCUCCGCGCGCCAUGGACGACUGCGACGACCUCCGCGACGUGCCAUGACGGGCCGCCUCGACCUCCGCCGGUCGGAUCCACGCGCAGUCACCAUCGCGGAGCUCGUGGCGGCGUCCAGCAGCGGUGGUACCCCGCACAUGCAGUACCCCGCACCCCAGAACGCCGGCUAGCCGGGAGGCCAGUGCCACCGGCAUCCAUGGCCAGGAGCGCUUCCAGUGCCGCUGGCAUCCAUAGCCAUCACCUUGCAUACAGUUGCUGAGAAAUCGAACCUGCUGCAUCAAACCCCCAUCAAGAUCUAAACCUUUCCUCCUCCCUACUAAGGUUGCAAGCGAUAUUCACCUAAUCCCUGUGUCCAAGAAUGAAUCCACAGAACUGAUUUCUCCAGGCCGAGCAUCUGCCUCCAACCAUCCUAUAGCAGGACAGCAAGAUAUGAACAACAGUUUCAUAUGGAGGGACGCCAAUUAGGGGAAGCAGCAAAUCGAUUUUGCGAUGUAGGCAAGUUUUUGAUCUAGAAGGUAUUUGAUUUAUGCCCAUCCCUUUAGUGUUGUUUGCUCCUUCGUCGAAACCUUUCUUCUGACCUGUAGGCUGCUUGCUAGGAACAAUCCAUUGGAGGAUAAAGGUGAAUGCCAGAGCAUUGCAUUUAAACAUAAAUAUACAACAACAUACAGUUAGAGCCGAUGUUGCCCCCUGCAGGGCCUAUAGGUUAAAUAAUGUUGCCCAUUUGACCAUUGGAUGUCUUUCUUUGUUCCUCUUCUUGGAACACCUUUUGUUCUCCCUAAAAUGUUAAUUUCUGUUUUCCAGAGCUUCGAAAUGCUGUAUUUUCUAAAGUGACCUUGAGAGGCAUCCGUUCAGUUUCCAGGGCGGUAAAUAUUGGAGCUUAUUGUUUACUUUCCUUGCUGUUGUGCUGAUCAUCUCCACAUUUUUUUUUGCUACUGUCCAGAUGUUCCAACACCUUGCGAAUCUUUGUAGAAUAAAAUGCCUUGCUAUGUAGCUCUCCUAUAAAUGUCGGUGUUUUCGAAAUAAUUACUGUCCCAAAUGUUGGACAUGUAAUGAACAUGCUAGUGAACUGAUGCUUACAUACGCAUUGAAAUAUUUCCUUAGAUGGAGAUGGUUUGAAGACUACACAUCAUUCUUCCAAAUGACCAAAUCUAAAGUCAUAAUUGAAGCAUCGUCCUUUGACCUAUUCCAGUCAUAAGAUACUUCUGAUUAAUUUCCUCACUUGCAUGAUCUUGAUCUUCGCUACCAUCUAAGGUACUUAGAGGAAAUACUCCCUCCUGUACUAAUUUUCUCAGUCCCAAUCAUUCCAUUUAUUUAACUCUUGAUGUAUUUGAGAAAACAUCAGAACUCAAAAGUACCAUAGAAGGUUACCCAGAUAACGUCAGAGAAUUAGAUAACUUGACUGCUUGACUGCUGGUAUGAAAUUGGUUAUAUUUCUUGUUAGUUAGAAAAAAAAACUCAAGUCGAGGGACUACUGACUGCACUAUUUUCAUAGCAACAGUCCCAUUUUACUUCCAGUGACGGAGGGAGUAGUUACCUAAUAAACAUCUGUGGAAACAAGCCUUACGAAUUCAGCACUGUUUGUUAUAUAUGUUCCCUCCAGUCAUGAUAAAAUGAUGUUAGGACGCACAAUUAAACUACCCUUAGUUGUUUCUGUGCUAACUUCAUGUUAUUAUGACUGCCAGGAGUACCUUUUUCCAGCAAUUGCUGCAUACAAGGUGGAGAAUAUUUGAAGUCGAAAACUUAUGCUUCUUACUUGCUUCUGUGUUUCUAACCAACAAACUGUAGGCCAAUCCAUCCACUCAAACCCGUGCUCUGCUGGUGACCAUACAUGGAGGAUAAGCUGCUUUUUGCGUGGACAUGCUCCCUCUGACAAACUUCGGAUCCAUGCGCGGCAGCCACACCUACACAGGGUGCCGCGGCAAGAACAGAACCUACAGCUACACCUUUCGAAGCCACGCCCUUCAACAAAGUUCAGAUUAUGUAACCUAUCGUACUAUGUGCUGUGUAUUUGGACCGUUACUACCGCCGUAUCAAAAAACCUAUGUAAUGACCAUAUUUGCGCCUUCUAAUUUGGAACAGCAGCAAACGCCGUUCUAGCUGAUC